UGGGGAAUAUUGGACAAUGGGCGAAAGCCUGAUCCAGCCAUGCCGCGUGGGUGAAGAAGGCCCUAGGGUUGUAAACCCCUUUCAGCGGGGAAGAUAAUGACGGUACCCGCAGAAGAAGUCCCGGCUAACUCCGUGCCAGCAGCCGCGGUAAUACGGAGGGGACUAGCGUUGUUCGGAAUUACUGGGCGUAAAGCGCACGUAGGCGGAUUUGUAAGUCAGGGGUGAAAUCCCGGGGCUCAACCUCGGAACUGCCUUUGAUACUGCAAAUCUCGAGUCCGGAAGAGGUGAGUGGAAUUCCUAGUGUAGAGGUGAAAUUCGUAGAUAUUAGGAAGAACACCAGUGGCGAAGGCGGCUCACUGGUCCGGUACUGACGCUGAGGUGCGAAAGCGUGGGGAGCAAACAGG
This 404-nucleotide ribosomal RNA is filed under the name uncultured bacterium. RNAcentral's name for it is "bacterial SSU rRNA". It matches the Rfam family "Bacterial small subunit ribosomal RNA", at positions 355 to 776 of the family's 1533-position model. The record is from RNAcentral.